RNAcentral lists this ribosomal RNA (459 nucleotides) under uncultured bacterium. RNAcentral describes it as "partial 16S ribosomal RNA". It matches the Rfam family "Bacterial small subunit ribosomal RNA", at positions 338 to 794 of the family's 1533-position model. The record is from RNAcentral.
CCUACGGGAGGCUGCAGUGAGGAAUAUUGGUCAAUGGGCUUACGCCUGAACCAGCCAAGUCGCGUGAGGGAAGACUGCCCUACGGGUUGUAAACCUCUUUUGUCAGGGAGCAACGCCGGCUACGUGUAGCCGGACUGAGAGUACCUGAAGAAAAAGCAUCGGCUAACUCCGUGCCAGCAGCCGCGGUAAUACGGAGGAUGCGAGCGUUAUCCGGAUUUAUUGGGUUUAAAGGUUGCGUAGGCGGGAUGCCAAGUCAGCGGGAAAAUCGCGGGGCUCAACCCCGCGCCGCCGUUGAAACUGGCGUUCUUGAGUGGGCGAGAAGUAUGCGGAAUGCGGGGGGUAGCGGUGAAAUGCAUAGAUAUCACGCAGAACUCCGAUUGCGAAGGCAGCAUACGGGGGCCCAACUGACGCUGUAGCACGAAAGCGUGGGUAUCGAACAGAAUUAGAUACCCAUGUAGU